GAGGGUAUUGCUCAGUGGUAGAGGGCAUGCUUAGCAGGCAUGAGGUCCUGGGUUCGAUCCCCAGUACCUCUG
Molecule: transfer RNA, 72 nt
Filed under: Camelus bactrianus (Bactrian camel)
Lineage: Eukaryota; Metazoa; Chordata; Mammalia; Artiodactyla; Camelidae
Also listed under: 1 other name
Rfam family: tRNA
About the family: Transfer RNA (tRNA) molecules are approximately 80 nucleotides in length. Their secondary structure includes four short double-helical elements and three loops (D, anti-codon, and T loops).
Source: Rfam by way of RNAcentral